AUGGCCGCGCUCGCUCCGCAGCGCCCGCAGACUGCCGGGCACCGGGCCGGGCCCGCCGGGCCGCACCGCCCCCCGCCCCGCCGGGGAGGGGCCGCCGCCGCCGCCAAUCCGCGACCGGCACCGGUACCCCCGGCACCGGUACCCCCGGGCACCCCCGGCACCCCCAGCACCGGCACCCCCGGCAUCGGCACCCCCGGCACCGGCACCCCCGGGCACCCCCAGCGCCGGUACCCCCGGGCACCCCCGGCACCGGUACCCCCGGGCACCCCCAGCACCGGUACCCCCGGCACCGGCACCCCCGGGCACCCCCGGCACCGGUACCCCCGGGCACCCCCAGCACCGGUACCCCCGGCACCGGCACCCCCGGGCACCCCCGGCACCGGUACCCCCGGGCACCCCCGGCACCGGUACCCCCGGGCACCCCCAGCACCGGUACCCCCGGGCACCGGCACCCCCGGCACCGGCACCCCCAGCACCGACACCCCCGGCACCGGUACCCCCGGCACCGGCACCCCCAGCACCGGCACCCCCGGCACCGACACCCCCGGCACCGGCACCCCCAGCACCGACACCCCCGGCACCGGUACCCCCGGCACCGGCACCCCCAGCACCGACACCCCCGGCACCGGCAGCCCGGGUACGCCCGCCAUCCGCAGCCCCGGCACCCACGGCGUGCCCCCUAUCCCCGGCACCCCCGGCAACCUCGGCGCUCCCGAAAGUGGCACCCCCGGCAGGGCGACUGGGUCCGGACCGGUGCUCCUACAGGGUCUCAACCGGGACCAGUGCCACGGUGGGAUCACAGCCGUGCCCCAGCUCCCGGGGUGGCGACCAAACCCCCCCCCCCCCCCCAUAGCUGAUUCCCGUUCCCCCAGCCAGGUCCCUGCACCCCCGACCCAGCCCCGAGGUGCCCGGGGACGGCGGCCGCGGGGCUGGGUGACGCGGGACGGGGAGAGCCCUGGAGGUGUCCCCGCACACGGGGAUCGCUGGGGCACUGUCUGGCCUCGGACAGGGGUUCAGGGCUCUGGAGGUCCCUCACAGGGACGAAGCAACCACGUCCUUUCAGGCCUGAGCCAUCCAGGCCCGCUCCGGUGA
RNAcentral lists this long non-coding RNA (1092 nucleotides) under Corvus moneduloides (New Caledonian crow). RNAcentral describes it as "lncRNA (ENSCMUG00000018838.1)". The record is from RNAcentral. Lineage: Eukaryota; Metazoa; Chordata; Aves; Passeriformes; Corvidae.